UGCAGGCACUGUUGAACCGCAGAUUGGGGAUGUGGGAGACGGAGUCAUUGAUGGGACGACGUCCGAAGGUGGAUACCUGGUGACGAUGAAAUUCGGUUCUCAAGUGCUGAAAGGAGUGCUUUACCAUCAUGCUAAAAGGCCCCAACAAGCCAUGGGAACACCACCUUCAGGCAUGCCACCAGCAUCACAGCGCCGAGCUAAGAAGAAAGCCAGAGAGACUACUCAAGUUGAUUCUAAGAAACCCAAAUUCCGCAGGAGUGGCUACAAACCUAAGAAACAGGUCACUUACUUAUAGUUAUCAUCAAAUCAAAUCCUUUAACCAAGUGUUUGCUUAUAAUCUGAUACCAUUUUCUUACAGGUUUAUCAAGACAAAGGAGUUACGGAUGGGGAGAGGUACAGAACUGAGAUCAUGCUGGAGUACGAGUCUGCACAUGAGUCUGAUGGAGCAUCUGCUUCUGCAGCCGCCACCAUGGCUCAGUAGUCUUUUCUUUCUUCUGUUAUGUUGUUGUCUUCUUCUUUCUUUAUUACAUUUCUCUUUCUUCUUUCUUUCUCUGGACAAGUUCUCUUUCUUUUAUAAUGAAUAUUUAUAAUGUCAUUGAUCAGUUUGCAGAACAUGUCAUGUUUAUGGUUGUAGGGUUAGUAAAAGAGGUUACUAACUGCGCAUUUAUGUCUUUCUUGCUAUUUUGAUUCAUGAUAUCCCGUUUGUUUGUUUUUUUUGUUUCUGUUUUCAACUUGGAUAUAUCUUAUGUUGUUGCAGAAAUUUGAAUGAACUAUUAUUACUCUUUCCGUUCCAAAUUAAUUCAUGUUUAAAAAAAAAGUAUUUUAAGAAGAUAUAUUUUUAUUAGAUAAUAAUGUAAAAUUUUAAAUUUUGAAAAGAAAUCAUGUUUACUGUACUUCGAUGGAUAAAAAUUAUAGAAAAUAUAGUUAAACACAAAAUAAUGCAUUUAUAAUUAAGAUCAAACAUAUUUUUAAUAUGUGUGGAAAAAUUUAAAACAUACAUUUUUUGAAAUGGGGUAGGGAACAUCAUUUAUUUAACACAUAUGUUUUUUGAAUCCCAUUUUUGUUGUUAGUUUUCAAGAGUUUCAACAUGUUCUCCCAACAUAUAAACAGCUUGUUUUGAUAAUCAAUUUGUGAAAUAACCAAAAAUAAAGAGAGAAUGGGUGAUUUUGGUUAGUUAGUGGAUUUUGUUUUUUUCUUGUAUAUUGGACCUAAUUUCCCAUUAAUAAUGCAAUGAAUGUUUUUAAGCCAACAUGUCAUAUUUGGCAAGAAUGCGUUCAAGGCAACACAAAUUUUUGUGAGAUUAUAAAUAUGGUCAACUUGAUAAUUUUAAUUAUUUAAGGCACUUUACAAACAAAUAAAAUGAUAAGGACUAAAAUAUAAUAACUUAAGAAAAUAAAUCAAUAUAUUUUAGUAUAUACUGACACGUGUCAAUUACGAGGCAUGUUUUAGCUAUUUAUUAUGAGUUUAGGUAUGAACUUCAAAAUUUCAUUUAGUUUACGAAUGUUUUAGCACGUUAAUAUACUCUAGAUACGUAUUUUCUCCGCUUUCAUAGUGUGAAUAUGAAUAAGCCGUUUUCCCCAGUAAGAAACAGACAACAAACGAAGUUAGAAGCAGUGACUCUUAACAAUCUAAUGCGGACAGCAAAAGAAAGAGGCAAAAAACCUGGGUUUGUUGUAGAUUUCAAUAGCAUUGGUAAUAGCAUUAUCAUCAUAAGUAGUACGAGAGAAAAAGCUGACCCCAGGUCUAUCAAGAUGCUGAAACCAAAGUGGAAAGUAGAAAUAGAUGAAGCUUUGUCAAUAAUAAUGCAUAUGGCUACUCAAUAAUCAAUAUAUCCAGACUCUUGACUUUGCAUAUAAGAUCUCCUUGAAAUCCACCGGCAAUUAUUCGUCUUUUAUUGCAAGUGUGCUUAUAUGUGUAAACUCUUCCAGCAAACUUCCAUGGUGUUUCUAAGGGGCUGCUAGUUGGAGUUUGAUUUAUAUAGAUUUAGUUGAUUAGAAGAGUAUAUAGACUUGUUGAAUUCGCAAAGGAAUAGUCAAAAUGUCCUGAUAGUGUUUCCAGCGUCUGUAGAUGAAGUUUUUUAAAGAUUUGGCAUUAUAAAAGUGGUGACCAACCAUUUGAGACUAACUUACACACUUGGGUUCAGGAUCUAGCUAAUAUGUACCUUUCCUGUGUUGGGGUCUACUAUAAGGCCCUCGGGAUUGUCGCCAACAAUAGCUAGUAAUUUACCAUUAGGACUCAAUGAUGUGUGCUGUUACCAACAAAUGGAAGACAGAAGAACAUAAUUAGCCUCUAAAUGCACCAAAAAAUCAAAUAAGUAUAUUAUUUUAAUGGGCCAUGUGGUUAGACAAACUCAUUAACUAAUCAAUGGGCUUUAUUAACAUUAUCUCACUAAUCUAGUCAAUGUAUAUAGAUAUGUAUCUAGCCAAAAAAAGGAAGCAAUCUUAAUUUGUAUCUUUUUGGUCUUGUUAAGACUAAAACAGUUGCUUAACAAGCUGGUAUCUCUCCAUGUCAAAAUCUCUAACUCCACAGUCAUUAUUCGAGGCAGUAAAAUGAAGAGCACCACUAUGAACAGAUGACAAAAACUAAGUUAGAAGCAGUGACUCUAACAAUUUAAAUGUAAACCCUUCAGCAGAAACUUGGGUUUGUUGUAGAUCUCAAUAGCAUUGGUAAUAGCAUUAUCUUCAUAAGUAGUACGAGAGCAAAAGCUGACGCCAGGUCUAUCAAGAUGCUGAAACCAAUGUGGAAAGUAGAAAGAUGUUUUUCCUACAAAUUUGCAAAAUCACAUUUUCCGGCCAAAGUCGUAAAAUCAUAUCCCCAAAAUCAUGAAAUCACGCUUCCCGCAAAAACCGUGAAAUAUUUUUUUCCCGGAAAACCAUAUAUCAUGUUUUCGCGUCAAAACCGUAAAAUUAUGUUUUUCCACCAAAAUCGUAAAAUCACAUUUUUCGCCAAAACUAUGUUAGAACCGUAAAAUUACGAUUUCUGCAAAAAUCGCAAAAUUAAGUUUUUCCGUCAAAACCGUAAAUCACAUUUUCCUCAAAACCACAAAUUACGUUUCCCACUUUCUUGGUAGAAUUAUUCAUGUCUACCACCACUAAAGAGAUAUUUUUAAAAAACAUUCUUCAUUAAGUGGCAAAAGACUUUUAUAUCUUUGUUCUAUAUAUAUAUAUGAUAAAUAAUUAUUUAAAUAAACUAAAAUAUAUUUUUAUAUAUAUCCCCUUAUAUUAAAUUUUUGAAGUUAUAAAUAUGGUCAACUUGAUAAUUUUAAUUAUUUAAGGCACUUUACAAACAAAUAAAAUGAUAAGGACUAAAAUAUAAUAACUUAAGAAAAUAAAUCAAUAUAUUUUAGUAUAUACUGACACGUGUCAAUUACGAGGCAUGUUUUAGCUAUUUAUUAUGAGUUUAGGUAUGAACUUCAAAAUUUCAUUUAGUUUACGAAUGUUUUAGCACGUUAAUAUACUCUAGAUACGUAUUUUCUCCGCUUUCAUAGUGUGAAUAUGAAUAAGCCGUUUUCCCCAGUAAGAAACAGACAACAAACGAAGUUAGAAGCAGUGACUCAGGGCUGAAUGAUAUUCCAGAUAUCUCUCCAAAGAAGUCGAUCUCCUGCUCUGUUUCAUACCCCUUUGAGACGUCAUAGACGUGCACAAAGUCUGCCGGUUCGGCCAUGGCCAUGUAUUUUCCGUCGGACGUGUAGCGGAUCGACCGGAUUGCUCCAAGGUUACCCUUCAGGACAGCAACAGAGUGAGAUAGGUUGCGGAUGUCCCAUACACGGCAGGUCUUGUCUUGGUUUCCAGUUGAGAAAGUGAUUCCGUCAGGAUGCCACGCUGAGGCAAAGGAGUAGUCAAAAUGUCCUGAUAGUGUUUCCAGCGUCUGUAGAUGAAGUUUUAAAGAUUUGGCAUUAUAAAAGUGGUGACCAACCAUUUGAGACUAACUUACACACUUGAGUUCAGGAUCGAAAAUAUUUGUACCUUUCCUGUGUUGGGGUCUACUAUAAGGCCCUCGGGAUUGCCGCCAACAAUAGCUAGUAAUUUACCAUUAGGACUCAAUGAUGUGUGCUGUUACCAACAAAUGGAGGACAGAAGAACAUCAUUAGCCAAACUGAAACUCCGAAUUAUGCCAAAAUAAAAGGAAAACUAUGAGAGAAGCAAGGACUUUACGUUCACUGGCCAAGGAAAGGAAAAAUGCUUAACAAGCUGGUAUCUCUCCAUGUCAAAAUCUCUAACUCCACAGUCAUUAUUCGAGGCAGUAAAAUGAAGGGCACCACUAUGAACAGAUGACAAAAACUAAGUUAGAAGCAGUGACUCUAACAAUUUAAAUGUAAACCCUUCAGCAGAAACCUGGGUUUGUUGUAGAUCUCAAUAGCAUUGGUAAUAGCAUUAUCAUCAUAAGAAGUACAAGAGCAAAAGCUGACACCAGGUCUAUCAAGAUGCUGAAACCAAUGUGGAAAGUAGAAAGAUGUUUUUCCUACAAAUUUGCAAAACCACAUUUUCAGGCCAAAGUCGUAAAAUCAUAUCCCCCAAAAUCAUGAAAUUACGCUUCCCGCAAAAACCGUGAAAUAUUUUUUUCCCGGAAAACCAUAUAUCAUGUUUUCGCGUCAAAACCGUAAAAUUAUGUUUUUCCACCAAAAUCGUAAAAUCACAUUUUUCGCCAAAACUAUGUUAGAACCGUAAAAUCAUGAUUUUUGCAAAAAAUCGCAAAAUUAAGUUUUUCCGUCAAAACCGUAAAUCACAUUUUCCUCAAAACCACAAAUUACGUUUUCCCACUUUCUUGGUAUAAGAAUUAUUCAUGUCUACCACCACUAAAGAGAUAUUUAAAAAAAAACAUUAUUCAUUAAGUGGCAAAAGACUCUUAUAUCUUUGUUCUAUAUAUAUAUGAUAAAUAAUUAUUUAAAUAAACUAAAAAAUAUUUUUUUUAUAUCCCCUUAUAUUAAAUUUUUGAAGUUAUAAAUAUGGUCAACUUGAUAAUUUUAAUUAUUUAAGGCACUUUACAAACAAAUAAAAUGAUAAGGACUAAAAUAUAAUAACUUAAGAAAAUAAGUCAAUAUAUUUUAGUAUAGACUGACACGUGUCAGUUACGAGGCAUGUUUUAGCUAUUUAUUACUCCCUCCGGUUUUUAAUAUAAGUCGUUUUAAAGAAAUUUUUUUGUUCCAAAUUAUAUGUCGUUUUCGAUUUUCUAUGUAAAAUUUAUUAAUAAUUAAUGAUGUCUGACCAAUGAUAAUAUAUUUUCUAUUUUUCUAUUGGUUGAAUUGUAGUUAGGUAAAUAAUUAAUGAUGUUUUUGUUUAGAAAAUAUAAGAAAUUAAUGAUUUUCUUAAUCUAUGUGCAUAGCUGUAAGACGACUUAUAUUAAAAAACGGAGGGAGUAUAAGUUUAGGUAUGAACUUCAAAAUUUUAUUUAGUUUACGAAUGUUUUAGCACGUUAAUAUACUCUAGAUAUAUAUUUUUUCCGCUUUCAUAGUGUGAAUAUGAAUAAACCGUUUUCCCCAGUAAGAAACAGACAACAAACGAAGUUAGAAGCAGUGACUUUUAACAAUCUAAUGCGGACAGCAAAAGAAAGAGGCAAAAAACCUGGGUUUGUUGUAGAUUUCAAUAGCAUUGGUAAUAGCAUUAUCAUCAUAAGUAGUACGAGAGAAAAAGCUGACCCCAGGUCUAUCAAGAUGCUGAAACCAAAGUGGAAAGUAGAAAUAGAUGAAGCUUUGUCAAUAAUAAUGCAUAUGGCUACUCAAUAAUCAAUAUAUCCAGACUCUUGACUUUGCAUAUAAGAUCUCCUUGAAAUCCACCGGCAAUUAUUCGUCUUUUAUUGCAAGUGUGCUUAUAUGUGUAAACUCUUCCAGCAAACUUCCAUGGUGUUUCUAAGGGGCUGCUAGUUGGAGUUUGAUUUAUAUAGAUUUUGUUGAUUAGAAGAGUAUAUAGACUUGUUGAAUUUGGAAUGAGUUGGAGAAAAUUUUGUAACAAUCUAUAAAAAUAAAUAACUCAAAUAUUUUUUAGAAUCCAAAGGAUAUAUGUAGUACUUUUUAUGAGUUAAAUAAUUAAGAAUACAAUUCUCAAUAACAGUAACUUUAAUAAAUUUACAGAAAUAUUAAAAUCCAAACUUUCGAAUAACAAAUGAUUUUUAGAUUUUAGUGAGAAUAUGAAAAUCUAUAAAUCAAUAACACUACUAUUUAAAUUCUAAAAAUUAAUUCCACUAACACCUUCUAAAUGCACCAAAAAAUCAAAUAAGUAUAUUAUUUUAAUGGGCCGUGUGGUUAGACAAACUCAUUAACUAAUCAAUGGGCUUUAUUAACAUUAUCUCACCAAUCUAGUCAAUGUAUAUAGAUAUGUAUCUAGCCAAAAAAGGGAAGCAAUCUUAAAUUGUAUCUUUUUGGUCUUGUUAAGACUAAAACAGUCAUUAACACAUCAGCAAUACUUAUCUAAUUAAUUAAUUACAUUUAUUUUUUAAAUAUCAUUAAAGCUUUGAAUGUUUACAACCACACCAUAGUUAAUAAUUACGAAAAUCUCUACAUAUAUUUGUGUAUAUCAGAAACGCAAAUGUAGUUGUUACACAAGCUAACAUUCAGACCUUAUGUUUUCUCCUUAGGUGUUAAGGAACUGAUUUAUUAUAAAGAUAAUAAGGUCCUCACAAACUCUCCAUUCACCAACACAGCAAAAAAAAUUAAUUACAUUUAUUUUUUAAAUAUCAUUAAAGCUUUGAAUGUUUACAACCACACCAUAGUUAAUAAUUACGAAAAUCUCUACAUAUAUUUGUGUAUAUCAGAAACGCAAACGUAGUUGUUACACAAGCUAACAUUCAGACCUUAUGUUUUCUCCUUAGGUGUUAAGGAACUGAUUUAUUAUAAAGAUAAUAAGGUCCUCACAAACUCUCCAUUCACCAAGACAGCAAAAAAAAGAUGUCAACAGUUUCACCCUCCUCGCAACUGGUUCAGGUGGUUCCAGACAACCACAACAACACUGACGACUCCUCUGCGGAGGUCAACUACGAAGAUCUUGUCCGUAAGUCAUGUCUAUUUGACCUUUUAUUUGACAUUAAGGUUCAUUAGUUUCCUCACAGGUUUAAAACAUUUUACAACACUCAUGUUCUUGUUUUCUCUUUACUUUGUAACAUGCUGAGACACCAUACCUCUUAUGUUUUUCAGAGGAAGCAAUGGAGAGCUUGUCCCUCGAGGAAGGUAUUAAAAAAAGGUUUCUCUAACUCUGUGGCUUUGUAUCACUUUGCGACUUAUUGAAUUUCCACCUUAUGGAACUUGCAGGCACUGUUGAACCGCAGAUUGGGGAUGUGGGAGACGGAGUCAUUGAUGGGACGACGUCCGAAGGUGGAUACCUGGUGACGAUGAAAUUCGGUUCUCAAGUGCUGAAAGGAGUGCUUUACCAUCAUGCUAAAAGGCCCCAACAAGCCAUGGGAACACCACCUUCAGGCAUGCCACCAGCAUCACAGCGCCGAGCUAAGAAGAAAGCCAGAGAGACUACUCAAGUUGAUUCUAAGAAACCCAAAUUCCGCAGGAGUGGCUACAAACCUAAGAAACAGG
Molecule: long non-coding RNA, 7516 nt
Filed under: Brassica napus (rape)
Lineage: Eukaryota; Viridiplantae; Streptophyta; Magnoliopsida; Brassicales; Brassicaceae
Description: long non-coding RNA (BNAP_LNC002078)
Source: RNAcentral